GGAAAUAUAGCUCAGUGGUACAGUGCCUGCCUGGCAAGCGUAAGGUCCUGAGUUCAAUUCCCAGUACCA
RNAcentral lists this transfer RNA (69 nucleotides) under Cavia porcellus (domestic guinea pig). It matches the Rfam family "tRNA". Rfam says of the family: Transfer RNA (tRNA) molecules are approximately 80 nucleotides in length. Their secondary structure includes four short double-helical elements and three loops (D, anti-codon, and T loops). The record is from Rfam by way of RNAcentral. Lineage: Eukaryota; Metazoa; Chordata; Mammalia; Rodentia; Caviidae.